Molecule: non-coding RNA, 717 nt
Organism: Salvia hispanica
Lineage: Eukaryota; Viridiplantae; Streptophyta; Magnoliopsida; Lamiales; Lamiaceae
Source: RefSeq, a predicted model, not a curated record
CCCAAUCGGUUCUUUUUGUAAUUCUGCAUUCUAUUUGGAAAUUUUGCAGCAGUGGAGCAACCACAGUUUAACGACUAUGGUAAUGAUUCUUUCUUCAUACAGCUUCGCGUGGGUACCUUGUACGCCUCAAUCGGAACUCGGAUGAAGAAGUUAUGGUCAUUAUGAUAGUACAAGGUCGCACAAAGGUCGUAGCCUUCAUCAAAUGGCCAUAACUGGUUCUAUCAAAACAAAUAUGGUGUGUCAAAGUGGAUUUAUCUUGUGGGAAAGAAGAAUGAUAGAUUUUUUUUUAUUACCUCUUGAGAUGAGAAAUCAAAACUCUUGCUUCAAUACUUGCUCUUCCGUUGAGAAUUGAGAAAAAAAGUAUGUGACGGCUGAGUGUAAAUUAGGUAUGGGAAUGAAUGAUAGUGAGAGCAGAAUAAAUUGAUAUACCGUGUUUUGCACGAUAAAUUUUGGUAAUUGAUUCUCAAGAAUCAAGAUAGUUGAAAUUAUAGGCUGAUGGGUGACUAAUUUUGGAGCAGAUUGAAGAGUGGAGGAAAACGGUAGGAGCCUGGGGAGAGGGUGUAAAACUGGAGAGGUAAAACUAAAGCCCUCCACUUCUUUGUCUCAGUAGUGUCUCAUCUCUUAACUAUUCACAAGUCUCAGUGCAUUUUUUACCUCAUUUCUUAAUUUAGAGAUAACACGUGUAAUCCUUCGUAUCUUAAACAUCUCAUCCUUUAA